RNAcentral lists this ribosomal RNA (580 nucleotides) under uncultured bacterium. RNAcentral's name for it is "bacterial SSU rRNA". It matches the Rfam family "Bacterial small subunit ribosomal RNA", at positions 338 to 916 of the family's 1533-position model. The record is from RNAcentral.
CCUACGGGAGGCAGCAGUGAGGAAUAUUGGACAAUGGGCGCAAGCCUGAUCCAGCCAUGCCGCGUGCAGGAAGAAGCAUCUAUGGUGUGUAAACUGCUUUUGUACGGGAAGAAACACCUCUACGUGUAGAGGCUUGACGGUACCGUAAGAAUAAGGAUCGGCUAACUCCGUGCCAGCAGCCGCGGUAAUACGGAGGAUCCAAGCGUUAUCCGGAAUCAUUGGGUUUAAAGGGUCCGUAGGCGGUUUGAUAAGUCAGUGGUGAAAGCCCAUCGCUCAACGAUGGAACGGCCAUUGAUACUGUCAGACUUGAAUUACUAGGAAGUAACUAGAAUAUGUAGUGUAGCGGUGAAAUGCUUAGAUAUUACAUGGAAUACCAAUUGCGAAGGCAGGUUACUACUAGUGGAUUGACGCUGAUGGACGAAAGCGUGGGGAGCGAACAGGAUUAGAUACCCUGGUAGUCCACGCCGUAAACGAUGGAUACUAGCUGUUGGGAGCAAUCUCAGUGGCUAAGCGAAAGUGAUAAGUAUCCCACCUGGGGAGUACGUUCGCAAGAAUGAAACUCAAAAGUGAAAGUUGACGG